This 468-nucleotide ribosomal RNA is filed under the name uncultured bacterium. Its description in RNAcentral is "partial 16S ribosomal RNA". It matches the Rfam family "Bacterial small subunit ribosomal RNA", at positions 28 to 507 of the family's 1533-position model. The record is from RNAcentral.
GACGAACGCUGGCGGCGUGCUUAACACAUGCAAGUCGAACGGAAAGGCCCUGCUUUUGUUGGGUGCUCGAGUGGCGAACGGGUGAGUAACACGUGAGUAACCUGCCCUUGACUUUGGGAUAACUUCGGGAAACUGGGGCUAAUACCGGAUAGGAGCUCCUUCUGCAUGGUGUGGUGUGGAAAUUUUACGCGGUUGGGUAUGGACUCGGCGCUUCUCAGUGUGUUGGGGGGGUAGGGGCUUCCCAAGGCUUUGGCGUGUAGGGGGCGUGAGAGUGUGAGGCGCCACAUUGGGACUGAGAUAGGGCCCAGACUUAUGCGGGGGGCAGGAGUGGGGAAUAGUGCACAAUGGGCGGAAGUCAGGUGCAGCAACGGCGCGGGCGGGAUGGGGGUUUUCGGGUUGUAAACCGCUUUCGCCUGUGAAGGAGCGUGAGUGACGGUACUGGGUAAAGAAGCACCGGCUAACUACGUG